Molecule: ribosomal RNA, 469 nt
Filed under: uncultured Algidimarina sp.
Lineage: Bacteria; Deltaproteobacteria
Description: bacterial SSU rRNA
Rfam family: Bacterial small subunit ribosomal RNA
Source: RNAcentral
AGAGUUUGAUCAUGGCUCAGGAUGAACGCUGGCGGCGUGCCUAACACAUGCAAGUCGUACGCUUGUAAAAGCGUGGCGAACGGGUGAGUAAUGGCAAGGAACGUGCCUUAUUCCGGGAAAUACCCAGCCGAAAGGUUGGCUAAUGUCCCAUAGUCUCGCAAGAGUAAAGCUCCGGCGGAAUAAGAUCGGCCUUGCUCCUAUCAGCUUGUUGGUAAGGUAAUGGCUUACCAAGGCUACSACGGGUAGCUGGUCUGAGAGGAUGAUCAGCCACAAUGGGACUGAGACACGGCCCAUACACCUACGGGUGGCAGCAGUUGGGAAUAUUGCACAAUGGACGACAGUCUGAUGCAGCGACGCCGCGUGAAGGAAGACGCCCCUCGGGGUGUAAACUUCUUUUGUGAGGGAAGAUUGUGACGGUACCUCACGAAUAAGAGCCUGCUAACUACGUGCCAGCCGCCGCGGUAAUUCA